GAUGAACGCUGGCGGCGUGCCUAACACAUGCAAGUCGAACGAGUCGCAAGACUAGUGGCGAACGGGUGAGUAACACGUAGGAAUCUGCCCCAAAGCGGAGGAUACCUAGCCGAAAGGUUGGUUAAUACUCCAUAGUCCCGCAAGGGUAAAGCAGCAAUGCACUUUGGGAGGAGCCUGCGUCCUAUCAGCUAGUUGGUGAGGUAAUGGCUUACCAAGGCUAUGACGGGUAGGGGGCGUGAGAGCGUGACCCCCCACAAUGGGACUGAGACACGGCCCAUACUCCUACGGGAGGCAGCAGUUGGGAAUAUUGGACAAUGGGCGAAAGCCUGAUCCAGCAAUGCCGCGUGAGUGAUGAAGGCCUUAGGGUUGUAAAGCUCUUUUACCAGGGAUGAUAAUGACAGUACCUGGAGAAUAAGCUCCGGCUAACUCCGUGCCAGCCGCCGCCGUAA
Molecule: ribosomal RNA, 449 nt
Filed under: uncultured bacterium
Lineage: Bacteria
Description: partial 16S ribosomal RNA
Rfam family: Bacterial small subunit ribosomal RNA
Source: RNAcentral